UUACGUUUGCAUGAGCGUGGUCGCGCCUGCUUUCUUCUCGACAUACUUGGAGCUGGGCUGGAGCAAGGUGGAGUGGUGCCGAUCACCACCACCACUGCCACCGCUGCCGGUGGGAUACGGGCAGAAGCAGGCUGUCUCUCCUAGCCACUUCCUGACUUUCUCCCUCUCUCUCACAAUGGCUGUUUCUCUCACUCUGUCUCUAUGAAUUUCUCUCACGCUUUAGGUAGCAUUAAGCUUACUCUUCCUCUCGGUCUCACUUCAUGAGUGUAUAUACGUAUACGCUGUCUCUGCAUGCAUGAGAUUAAAUAUAUAUAUAUGUAUAUUAUUAUUAUAUAUAUAUACACAUAUACAUGGGUGUGUGUGAGUGUUAUACCUCUGUCACUGUGAACACAUUCAUGUUCUGCGGUCGCUACGUAUGUCUCAAUUCCACGCUCUCAGCUGCUUUAAAUCCUCCCUCCAUCUCUUUCGUUCUUGUGACGAAGCCCGGAGCCCUGCUGCAAUCACUCCAGGCGGGAGGACGUCAACGACAACACAGUACUAAGUAACCUAGCACAACCACUACCAUCAGGAACUUUAUGGCCAAAUAGCGACAAAGACCGAUCGAAAAAACAUUACACUGCAAUAUGUAACUAUAACAACCAUAUAACGAUGAAAAUCACUUAAGUUAACACAAUCAGGGGUUCAGGUGAGUGAGGAAAAUUAUAUGACGAAGAGUUUCAUAGAAAACAAAAACAUAAAUGAAUCAAAAUAAAUGACAAUGUGUUUGAAUGUCAGUGUCUGUAAAGAUAGAAAAAGAAAGAGCAGAGAAAAGUGAAGGAAGACGAAAUGAAAUCUAGAGAUGACAGGACGUGUAAAAGGGCUGAAACCGAGAUGGGUUGAGGGUGCCGGUUUGAUUUAAUAUUUUAAUCCCGGCACGUUUUUAUCCUUCGUUCACCACCAUUCGUUUCCUAUACAAUCAACGACACUCCAUUUCUCCCUCUCUCUUUCUUUCAUCAACAUAAUAUUCGAGUUCUCGUUAUGCUGGAAAGUCUGGAGUAGCUACUUGGGCCGACUGAAAAGAAUCGACUGGGUACUUACAUAGGUGCCGCCGGCUUGAUUGAUUUUCUAGCACACUGCACACAAGAAGCACUAUACUGUAGAGAAGGUAGAACCGUUGUUAGCUACAAUCAGUGUUGAGUGUAAACCCUGAUAUCAGUCGCCACUACCACAUCUGUCCCCCACCAGUCUGUUGCUGCUGUUGUUGUUGUUUUCUUGACGCUUGUACAUAAGAGUAAAUACUCCUAAGUCUUCUAUAGCAAUAACAGGCAACCAGAACAAUUAACAGCAGGAAGUUAAUGGAGGAAGAUACACACGAGCUGAUACUAUAUUGGGUAAGUUUGUCUAUACUUUACUGUUGUGCAUAACUACUACAUAUAUAAAUGUACGUGUGUAUAUACUUCUACAUCUUUUUAUAUCUUUUCAGGUUUUGUAAUGUUUCAUUGUAAGGAGCCGGGGGACCCUUCAACCCGACAGAUCAAUAGUGAUGGUACUGCUGGUCGGUGGCACACAGCAGCUUAUAUACUAAGAGAAUCUUAUGGUGUUUUGGGUGGUUGCAGAGAGUGCACUGUUUAUCAAAUUACGCUUUGGUUUUUACUGUAGGGUCACCUGAAGCCUGAAACGAAUACACCUUUCUGGUUGUCAAAAUGCCUAAUUAUUCAAGAUGUUGCUAGUGCCUGAAAUAAAGAAGUCUCCGUUUUUUUUUUUAAAUUUCAGUAGAUACUGGAUGUAUUUUUUUUUAAGUUUGAAUUAGGUUGUCUAUUACCGAAGUUUUUUUUUUGUUUUUAUUUUAUAAUUAUUUAUUUAUUAGAUUCUGAAUUUUACGUACGAUGUCUGCUGUAAUUGCAAUAACAUGGAUACUUUCGUUUAUGGAUAAAGGCCAGGCUGGCAUUUCUUAUGAUCUUUCUUUUUACUUAGAAUACUUACUUAAAGCAUAUUGUGAUCAAUAAUAGUUAGGCACUAUCAUUCUAAUAAAUUUUUUGAAGUGUUUCCGAGAGAAUUCUAAGUUUAAAUGUUUUUUAAUGUUCUGUUGGCAGCAUGUAGAAUGUAAUAACGUGGAGAAUGACAAAUGUUAGGAGAAACCUUCAAAGGAAGAUUUGUCGAUUACAAUUUUUUUAAGAUUUUCUAUAAAUUCUACAUAUUAGUUUCAUGAAAAUCUGUUUUAAUUAUUGGUUCUCAGAGAUUACUUAGAAAAAUACUCGUUCAGGUGUCAAACGACACUUGGAUUCUAGCAGAGUAAUUGGUAAAAAUACCUGAGCAUGUAUGCGCGUGUGAAUUAAACAGAAUGCUUUAUCAACAUAAUUUCUGUUCUUCAUCCAUUAGUUACAGUUUAAGGAAAUUCAAACAUAUUAAAAAAAACUAACAAAACUUUCAGCUUGGGAGAAAGUAAGGGUGCGUGUGUAAUUAAUAAUUGUGGGAAAUUUUAAUUGCAGUUUUUAUAAGAACCGCAGAAGACUUCAGUGAAUUACAGUGACAGAAUAAUAAUUGUCUUUCAUAAUACAGGGGUUGAUAGAGAGUGGUCCGAAUUGAGAAAGAGAGACUAUCGGAAGAUGUUGAUAGGAAACAAUGAAGUAAAAGAAAAUAAGUGAAUAUAUGGCGAUUAUAUUGGAUAGAAGUAGUGGAGGUGGUUGUAAUCGAUGGUAGUGGUGUCAUACACUGUGUUAAUGCCGCUGAUAAGAUGCUAAGCAAUGUUUUGUAAUAAUAAUGAUGUCGAAAGCUUUUGUGUUGUAUUAUAGAGUUCCUGGUUAUUUGGUGACCGCGAUAUUCGGCUCUGGUUGUUUUGUUGUUCAGUCUGUAAUAGUGAAUAUUAAGGUGGUGAUGACGGCGGUUCUGAGAGAGAGAAGGAGAGGGGAUAAAAACGAGCGAACACGAGAGAUGUUAGCCUAAACAGAACACGUAGAGCUUGCUUAGUACAAGAAACCCAGCGUGUGUUAGUAUGAGGAGAGGAGGAGAUGGAGAAAAAGAGAGAAGGAAGCAGGCUACGUCACCAGAUGAAUAUUGAAUUGCAAUUGGAGCUAACGGCACCCCUGGGGGAUGUUCCCUAGGGAGGCGACCUUUCGCAUACUGAGUCAGACGCGUGAUUUGGGUACGGUUUCUAGCCGUUUUAGUUCGGUUAGAAUAACAGUGUAUUUUUAGCUAGAGAGAAAGGGAGAAAGGAAUAUGCUCGUAUUCACCAAUAAUACAGUCGAAUGUUUUUUUUUUAAUGUUGUUUUUAUCCUAUGAGAACCAAGUCACGCUGGCCACUGCCAUUCACAGCACAAGUCGGCUGGGCAUUUACUACCACUCUUUCUUCCACUCCUUCUUUCCUCUACUUCUCCAGUCCCCCGAUGGAAGCAGUGGUAGGUGGAUUCCUUAUUCUAUGCCAUCUUUAGUAGCCAUGGUAUAGUGAGUGGGCACUCAAGAGGCGGGAUAUUUCUCUCUAUAGAAGGCGUAUCUCAUAUGGAUUACAUAGAGAGGAAAUCGACUGAAUUAAGGCGGAAGAAAGUAGUUUUUAAGUUUGGCUCUCUUUUCUGCUGCUGCUGCUGCUUCCACACUUUUUCCCUCCUUCCCUCUCUGUUUCUCCAAUACUUUCCUCUCCACUCACAUGCUGAACUUGAAACACUUUCACUUUAUAUGUAAACACAUGUAUGCACAUGCGCAGUUGCUUAGCCAGGGGCAAGUAACUCCAUGAAGAGGCCGGUAGGGGUGUGUACGUGCCUACAUCCAUUGGUUGCAUCAUUGGAAAACAGCACACGCAGAAAAUUAUUUAGUGCGUUGCAUAGACUUGCACGUGUAGCAGUAACUGAUUACGUACAAAAUCUACGUCUCUUAUACAGUCGUAUAUAUUAUUACUUUUUAUAAACUUCUGCUUUCCCGUAAAAAGUAACGCAUUUUGCAAAGCC
This 3917-nucleotide long non-coding RNA is filed under the name Octopus vulgaris (common octopus). Lineage: Eukaryota; Metazoa; Mollusca; Cephalopoda; Octopoda; Octopodidae. The record is from RNAcentral.